AGUGAACGCUGGCGGUAGGCCUAACACAUGCAAGUCGAACGGCAGCACAGUAAGAGCUUGCUCUUACGGGUGGCGAGUGGCGGACGGGUGAGGAAUACAUCGGAAUCUACUUUUUCGUGGGGGAUAGCGUAGGGAAACUUACGCUAAUACCGCAUACGACCUACGGGUGAAAGCAGGGGAUCUUCGGACCUUGCGCGAUUGAAUGAGCCGAUGUCGGAUUAGCUAGUUGGCGGGGUAAAGGCCCACCAAGGCGACGAUCCGUAGCUGGUCUGAGAGGAUGAUCAGCCACACGGAAACUGAGACACGGUCCAGACUCCUACGGGAGGCAGCAGUGGGGAAUAUUGACAAUGGGCGCAAGCCUGAUCCAGCCAUACCGCGUGGGUGAAGAAGGCCUUCGGGUUGUAAAGCCCUUUUGUUGGGAAAGAAAAGCAGCAGGUUAAUACCCCGCUGUUCUGACGGUACCCAAAGAAUAAGCACCGGCUAACUUCGUG
RNAcentral lists this ribosomal RNA (491 nucleotides) under uncultured bacterium. Its description in RNAcentral is "partial 16S ribosomal RNA". It matches the Rfam family "Bacterial small subunit ribosomal RNA", at positions 29 to 507 of the family's 1533-position model. The record is from RNAcentral.